This 6949-nucleotide long non-coding RNA is filed under the name Marmota monax (woodchuck). Lineage: Eukaryota; Metazoa; Chordata; Mammalia; Rodentia; Sciuridae. The record is from RNAcentral.
GGCGGGGAAGCGGGGCGGUGCCGCCGGGGGGCGCGGGGGCGACAGCGGCACCGCCCUACGCCGCGGGCGGUUGACGGUCCUCCCCACGCCCCGCGAGAAGAGAAGGGUCCAGGUGGGCGGGCUCCUGUUCUGGAGCCUUGGUCGGGCGCGGUUGUUGGGUAGGCCCUUCCGGGUUCCAGGGAUCCGGAAGGUGGCCCCUGUGGGACCUCGGUCCGGAUACCGGAGGGGGCGAGAGGGCUGGGUGCGAGGGAGGUUGUGUCCACCUCUCGGGCUAGCGACAAAGGGCGCCCCCACCCCUGAGGCGCCCUCCCGGUUGCUCGGUGCACGACGUGGAAAGGUGGCCUGGUUCCUUGGAGGGAGAACUAAGGUUGAAGUCCGUGGCUGGACAUCCAGGCUUUUUCUAUCCCUGCCGCAGUACCCCCUUUUUUAUUCAGCAUUUUAGUUUUAGUCAUUCCAAACACACCUGUUGCGCGCGCAUUGCUUAUGCCAGCAGACCCUGGGGAACAAAGUCGACUAUCGUUCUGAAACAUUAAUAAUGGGGAAGAUAGGGAGUAAAAGUAAGCGAAACAGUGACAGAUGGUGACAAGUGCUGUGAACGAAGUAGCCUAGUGGAAAGAGUAGAUAUCGAUUAUAGCUAGAUUGAUAGAAAAGACCUGUUUGAAAGAUGUGCGAGACCUGGGAAGCGGGGAGGAGAGUGGUUUUAAGAGGAUGGUGUAUGGUUAGCCUUUGCAGAGGCCUGGUUGCUUCAGUGCCAUGUUCCUCAUCUUCUCAACAUCUGAAUUUCCAUCACACCUUUAUUAUUAUUACUACUACUAUUAUUUUUUACAUUUCCUAAAGCACAGCACUUUUCACCGUGUAUUGUAUUAUUUGAGUUACACACACAUAAAUACACACCAGUUCCCCCAAAGAAUAGUCAGUAAAUAGGUUCUUAGCAUCCACUGGCUUCUAGAUAUUCUACUAGGUGCAGAGGGUAACUUAAAAAGUGAACAGAGCAUUCAUGAAUGCUUUCUAAAUAUUGGUCCUGUCCUUUUAUGCCCAUCCUAUACAUCCUCUGUGGCUCCCUUUAUCCUUACUCCUUGGGAAUUUUUCUUUAAUAUUUAACCACAACCCAACUUUCCAGGCUUUCUUCUGGCUUUCAGAACCUAGUUACUUAAUUGGUGCAUCCAAUAAACUAAUUGGGUCCACCCAUUAGUGAAAAAAAGUACAUGUAUUAUUCUUCCUAUAUGAUGUUUGUGUUUGAUUUUGUUUGUUUAUAAUAGUAACCUGCAAGGUCAUAAUUCACAAUAAUGAAUGAAGUGAAAAUUUGAGGCACUUGACUAGCUAAGUUGAGAAAAUGUUUAAUGAUAUUAUGAAUAUGGACUAGAAAAUGAUGGUCUCUUCUAAGUCUUAAAAUGAAGAAACUAUUUGUUUAAUGGCCUACCUUGAUCUCUGCCUUAUUUAUUUAUUUAUUUUGGACAUUUGGCAAUCAGUAUCUACACUUGCCACUGUUUUCCUGUGACAUGAGAAGCCAUAUUGGGAAAGCUGAAUUCUUCUAACUGGAAUAUUGAUCUAAUUAUUAAAAAUUAGAUAUACCUUGAUUAUUCUGAAAAGUAAGUAAACUGUAAUUCAAUUCUCCUGAUUCUGUUUUAAAAAGUAAGAGUAUUGAUAUUGUCUGUUCCUACAUAACCAAUUAUCCCCAAAUUUAGUGGCCUGACACACUUUUUAAUUUCAAAGUUUUUGCAGGUAAGGAAUCAGGGCAAUUGUUUGCCUACCAGGGUUCUCUGCUUCAGAGUAUCUCACAGACUGCAAUGAAGUUAUGGGCCAGGCUUAUAAUGAUCUCAAGGCUUUCCUGGGGAAGGGUUCACUGUCAAGUUCUUUCAUAUUCAUUGUCAGGAUUCAGUUCUUUACAGGCUGUUAGACUGAGGACAUCAGUUCCUAGCUGUCUGUUGGUAAGAGAUCAACCUUAGUUCCUUGCCACAUGGGUGUCUCCAAUAUGGAUGGCACCUUGCUUGAUCAAAGUGUACUGCUAAGAGGCUACAGAAAGAGUGCCAAUAAGCUAGGCGUUACCUUCUUUUCUAACCUAAUUAGGAAAUAGGAUUCCAUUUUGUACCAUUGCUGUAUCUAUUAAAAGCAAGGUACUGGGUCCAGCCCAGGUUCAGAGAUUAUUUGGAGCCAUAUCAGAAACUGUCUACCACAUAAGCAAAGCACAAUAAACUGAUUAUAUGAAUUUGAGGCUCUAAAAAUUUUUCUUGAAUGUCCUGAAACAGUCUUAUUUGCUAUCUUUAUCAUGAAGACAGUAAAUGGUCUUCUGAGUGUAUGGCUUAAUAAACAUUUGUUUUUUGCCUGCUGUGUUCUGGCACAGCACCGUGCUAGAGGUACAAAGAUAAAUGACACUUUUUUUUUCCUGCCCUUGACUUACGGAAGAAAGAUGUAAGAAACAAUUACUAAUUAAUGUUAUACAUGAUAAAAUAAAAGCUUCACAGAGUACUCUGGUCAUAGGGAAAGGAGGAGAGAAACAUUUGUUCUAGGUCACAGAGAAGUAAACAGAAUAGGAAGAUAUGAGGAGAAAAAGGAAAAGAUUAUAUGUGGAUUAAGACUAAGUAGAAAAUUAAUCUUAUGCAUCAAUAAAAUAUAAAAGUAAUAUAUACUGUAUUCUGUAUUUUGUAGGCUUCAAACAAUCUAAAAUUGCCCCAUUGUAUGCUCAUAGAGUAUCUUUUACAACUUUUAAGUUUUAUAACUGAAUUCCUUCCAUUGAAAUAUACCUGAUAGAGCGUAUCAUGUCAUUUUAACCACAAAAAAUUAGAAAAAAAGGUAGUUAUUAAAUGAAAUAAAGCAAUUAUGAAGUGUAUAUUUUGAUAACCAACACAGUAAAAAACACUUGAGACUCUGUCCUGGUUCCAAUAUCUUAUCUUUAGCCUAUUGUAGCAUUUGAAGAAGUUGAGAACUGAAGCUGAUUCAAAUUUUAAUUUUACACUAACUGGCUUUGUAGCCAUGGGUAGUUCUCUCCAAAUGUUCAAUUUUCUCAUCUCAAUAUGGUGUUGAAAGAAAAAAAUGAGAGUCUAUUGGGGAUUAACUUAGAACUUUAUAAAUAAUAAAAGGAGAAGAUUUGGUUACAAAUUUGAUUCACUGAAAUAAAUAUAAUCACAUUUUCUAUUUCUAGAGGAAGUACUUCAUAUUCAUAAGUACUUCAUAUUCAUAAUAAUUGAUUCACUUAUAUAGAGUAAGCUACCCUGAAUAAUACUAACUUAAGAUUUAAUAUUUUUUUCAUCAUAACAUCAGUUGUAAGCAUGUUAACUUUUCAGAUUUUAAAAUAUCAGCAAGUAGAAGGAGAAAUUGAUCAUCAUUGUAAUAGGGAACAAAAAAGUGAUACUUAUAUUUUUAAAAUUUUAAAAAUUAUUGUAGUUGGUAUUUUCUUUCUCUGACUUAAUUUUUGACCAAAUGGUACUUGAAAAAGUAUAUCCUGGUGAUUUGCAUUUCAAUUUUCCAUUCACUCAUUUGUUCAUUUAUCCAAUCAAUAAAUAUUUAUUUAGAUCUUAUCAGGUACCAGCCAAUGUUCUAAGUGAACAAAUACAAUUGUGAACAAAGUCUGUGCCCUCAGUAAGCUUUUUGGGGGAUGAGAUAAUAAAUAAAUAUUAAAAAGGAAAUCUAGGUAUGUCAGACAAUGAUAUACCCUAAAGGAGAAAAUUAAGCAGAGAAAAAGGGUUUCUGAAUGUGGGAAGCAUAGGGAAGUGUUGCACAUUGAAACAGAGUGGGUUUUUGCUCCCUAACAAGAUGACAUUUAUGCAUGAAUGAAUGAAACAAAAAUGUAAGCCUUGGCAAUUUCUGGGUUACAUCAUUUUAAGCAUGGGGGAACAGUAAGUACAAAGACCCUGAGGCAGUUUAGUGUUUGGUAUAUUCAAGGAAUUAGGAGGAGGUUAUUGUGGGUAGAAGGCAAGUAGCUUUAGAAAAUCAGAGAAAUGGCAAGGCACUAAAUCAUGAAGGACAUUAUGGGUCACUGUAAGGACUUGGUUUUUCAUUCUCUGGUGAGACAUGAUGUUGGUGGAUGGUAUUGAGCAAACAUGUGAUGUGAUUUAGCUUUGGUUUUAACAGAAAUCACUCUGGCAGCAGGGUUCCCAAUAGACUAUAAGAGACAAAGGCAGAACUAGAGGUCUAGUUAGGAGGUGCUCUGUUUUGAAUAGGGCUUGUCCCUUCUGAAACACAUGUUGAAAUUUUUUGCUAUAUUGUGGUGGUGUUGGGAGGGGGGCCUUAAAGAGGUGGUUAGGUUGUUAAAAGGGAUUAAUGCCUUUAUCACAAGAAUGGGUUCUUAUAAAGGGAACCCAGAACCCCUUGCUUUUCUUUUUCUUCCAAAUGUGCUCACUUGCUCUUUAGCUUUUUCACCAUGUUGUGGAAGAAUACAAGAUCCUCACUAUAUGCCUGAUCUCCCUUCUCUAGAACCAUAAGCUAAAUAAACCUCUAUUUAUAAAUCUCCCAGACUCAAGUAUUCUGUGAUAACCACUGAAAACAGACUAAUACAGGAAACUAUUGCAAAACUUUGGGGAAUGAUUGAGAGUAACUUAACCUAGAUCAUUGUAGUAGAGAUAGUGAAAAGUGAACAGAUUCUCAAUAUAUUUUGAAGACUGAGUAAUAAGAUUUCAUUGAUGCAUUGGGUGUAGAAGGUGAGAGAGAGAGUUAAACAUAACUGUAAGGGGAUUGGCCUGAGAAACUUUAUUGAUAGAGUUAUCAUUUACACAUCUGAGGAAGAUCAGAUAUAGGGAGAAAUCUAGAGAUCAUCUUUGAUUACACUAAGUUUGAGGCACCUUCUAGACAUUAAUAGGCAGUUAAAUAUCCGAGUCUGGCAUUCAGCUGAAAGAUGUGAGCAGGAGAAAUACAUUUGGAAAUCAGCAGUCUAGAUGAAUUCCAAAAUUCUGAAAUUACCUUGAAGCCAAUAUAAACAGAGAAGACUGCAGACCCAGACCUCUUUCAUUGCCAAGUCACUCCCAGAGUAUUAAAAGGAAGUGGAGAGGAAAAGGCUAGAGAAUUCAGAAAUAAUACAAGUUGUUCAUUCAUUUGGUAGAUAUUUUUGAGCAUCUGCCAUUUGCCAAAAAAUCUGCUGGGGAAACGACAUGGCAGACCAGGUACAAGUAGGGCCUUCAAGUAACUGACAUUCAUCAAGUUGAACACCAAAGGACAGGAACAGAGAUAUACUAUAGUACACAUUGUUGAACAGAAGGAAGAGAAGGAGUGGCAAAGAAACAAUGGAAGUGCAGAACAGAUUCCAAGGUCUGAGAAGGAAAGGAAACUGUCUUUAAUCUCCAACUUAUCCAAAGAUAUGCUGGGCCAAUGGCAAUCCCUGGCAGCAAGAUAACAGAAAACAAAAAUUAUAAGAGAAGAAAGUAAGGUUACAGGAAGUGGCUGGGGGAAGGAGGAAUGUAGGAACAACGGAGACUACAUAGUGUCAUCCUUAGCAUGAAAUAGUUUAUACUUGGUCUAUAUUUUAGACAAACACAGGCUUAGCUCUUGUAAAAAGUUUGAAAGACAAACACAGGCUUAGCUCUUGUAAAAAGUUUCCUUACAUCAUGCAAAUACUCCCAAUAAAACAGCAGGUUUACUAAAUAGAUUGUAUUCUAAUGAAACUUUCAAUUGUAUUUUUUGUUGUUGUUGUUCAACUGCAGCUGCUCUAACAAUAGAAUAAUUUCCCCAGGAUGAUAAAUACUUUCUUUCUCAAAAGCAACACUGAAGCAACCUUUAAAUACACUUGGAGAAGUGUGUGCUGGAGGAGAGUUGAGCCUACUGAUAAAAACUAAGAGUAAAAGGAAAAAUGCUACCAGAAUUUAAAAAUAAGGAGAAAAAGAAAAUAGUUACUUAAUGAAGAUAAUUAACAAUCAUUUUCUGGGUUACUACCACAAAGAUGCUAUAAAGAAAUAGAGAAGACUUACAGGGUUUUUUUCAUUCACACUGCAUCCUAGAUCACAUGAUAGGUAGAUUAAAAUAACAGGGAUGGCUUCAACUCUAGAAUCACAUGUCUUACAGUAACAAAAAUACUUCCUUUGAACUCUAUUAUUUAGUGAGCAUGGCAUUAAUUUGCAAAAAAUGCAGUUAAAAUUGAGGAGUCAUUUGAAUUGUCGUGUUUCUUGCAGUUUUACCCAAUAAUGCAAAUUAUGCUGAAAUAUGGAGUAACUCAUACCAUUGUCAUGUUAGUUCACUCUGGUGUGUAAGAUUAGUUAUUGGGGCAGGGAAAAUUUCCCACAAAUUUCCGACUUGUGUAUAUUGGGAACUCUAGGUCUCUGAUUAGAGGAAGAAUGAGACCAUGGCCUUACUAAUUUAUGUUCAAGAGGAACUAAUAAUCCUGGGAUAUGACUAUCUGACAAAGGUUGGAACUAUGGAGCAGGAAAUGGAACCACCAGGGUGAUGAUGGAGUUGGGGAGAGGGAGUAAGAGUUAAUUUACUUACUCAAAACAUAUUUAUUGAGCUCUUAUUAUACACCCGGGAUUAUAAUGUAGAUCUGCAGAUAAGUAACGUGCAAAAUCUGAAUUAUUUUCCCUUCCAGUGGAGUUUACAACCUAAAGCAGUGGUCAUUAAAGAGGAGUACAUGUACCCUACGGACUGAGUGAGAUGAUAUAGUCAGGAAAUAGCUAUAGUGAAGUGAUAAAUGCUGUAAUGAAUUCAAGACUCAUAUCAGCUAUCUGUGAAAGAUCAUGUGAAAGAUAUCUUUUAGGAGAUGAGAAGAAAAUAUUAAAGUUUUAUAUAUUUUAAAAUAAAAAACAUUUAACACAAUGUAUAGUUUGAUAGUUAUAUGAUCUAUAAUUAAAAAUAAAAAAUAUAUGUAUUUUGAUAGUAUGGGCUUAAAACAUGUCACUGAUAGAUAAAGAAAAAAACAAUUGAGUAGGGUGUUAAACUUGAGAUUUUUGAAAUCUUGUUAAAUAUAUGACUUAUAGCCCAGCACAGAGUACAUGCCUAUAAUCCCAGCAACUCUGGGCUAAGGCAGGAAGAU